RNAcentral lists this unclassified non-coding RNA (4125 nucleotides) under Amphimedon queenslandica. RNAcentral describes it as "multidrug resistance-associated protein 1-like, transcript variant X1". Lineage: Eukaryota; Metazoa; Porifera; Demospongiae; Haplosclerida; Niphatidae. The record is from RNAcentral.
ACAAAAUCCUUGGUGGAAGAGGAACCCUGAAUAUUACCCUAUGCUUUGAAGACACUGCAGUCCUCUAUGGAAUUUGUAUAUUCUUUUGGGUACUGGCUACCAUUAACUUUCUCUGUCGCAAAAAGAGAGAAUUUGUCCUUAUUCCCUUCAAUCUAUUGCUAGUGACAAGAGUGGUUUUAUGUUUUGGCAUUGUGUUAGUAGCAGUUUGUGAUUUUGUGUACUCUGUCAUUGUUGAAAUGAAGAAUGGAGGUGUGCCAGCUUACUACUUUCUCUCUCCUAUCAUUCUAGCAAUCACAAUGGUGAUAGUGAUUUUAUUGUUAAUAUCAGAGUAUAAGAAAGGAGUUAGGUCUUCUGGUCCUCCUGUCAUCCUAUGGAUUGGUCUAGUGGUCUAUGCGUCCAUUAAAAUGUGGACUAUACUUGCCAAGGCUGAUGUAACAGGAAUCAUUGAAGUAUUCUAUUUCACUACAUUUUCUGUGGAGUUUUUCUUUUUCGUACUUCAACUUCUGCUCUCAUUCAUACCAGAACCAAAAUCAAUUGAUGACUACAUCAGAGACACUGAGUAUAAACCUUCACCUGAAGGAUCAGCAUCAUUCUUUUCCCUUGUGACUUGGUGGUGGCUGAAAUCACUGAUGUGGAAGGGAUCGCAUAAAGUGCUAUCUCAUGAUGAUCUUUAUGAUAUUAACUAUGAGGAUAAAUCUGAAGUGACUUCUAUCAGGUUUCAAAAGGAAUGGGAUAAAGAAGUGAAGAGAUCAGGGUUAGUAUUUGUUCAAGGACAAUCAAAUAAACAAUCACAGAAAAGAAGAGAACCAUCUCUAGUACUUGCAUUAUUCAGAGCUUAUGGAUUGGACAUUAUUACUGGUGGAUUCUAUAAACUAUGCUAUGACAUACUCAUCUUUAUUAAUCCUCUGCUCCUUAGGUUAAUGGUAGCAUAUAUUCAUGAUAAGAAUCAACCUGCAUGGAAUGGAUACUUUUAUGCAGUGGCAAUGUUUCUUAAUGCAUUACUGCAUUCUCUUACUUAUCAACAAUACUUUAAUCAUAUUACAGUAACUGGAAUGAGAAUCAGAACAGGUUUGAUUGCUGCAAUCUACAACAAGUCCCUAGUUUUGACAAGAAAGUCUUAUCAGAUCAGAACAAUAGGAGAGAUGGUUAAUCUCAUGUCUAUUGAUGCCCACAGAUUCAUAGAGACAUUGAGCUACUUUCAUAUGGUUUGGUCUGGCCCUUUACAGAUUGUUGUUGCUCUAGUGGUCUUAUACUGGACAAUGGGUUUUGCUAUUCUCGCUGGCCUGGCAGUAUUGCUAUUAUUGCUACCCUUUACUUUACUGGUGUUCCUUGUUGGACGAUACUUUCAAACUAAACUGAUGAAAGCUAAGGACAAGAGACUGAAAAUUAUUAAUAGCAUCAUUGGUGGCAUCAAGGUGAUUAAACUAUAUGCAUGGGAGAUUCCAUUUCGAAAUAAAGUCAAAGAAUUACGAAAUAUAGAGCUUCACAACCUAAGGACUAUAUCCCGCAUUCAGGCAUUUUCUGCUCUUACAUGGUUCAGCACUAACACUGCUGUUAUACUGGUUACAUUUGGCACAUUCUUGGUGAUUAAUUUCAGUAGGUCAAGUACUGAUUUUAGCCUCACAGCAGGAAAAGUUUUUGUUGUGAUCUCACUAUUUGAUAUUCUUAGAUAUCCACUCACUAGAUUACCAAUGACAAUUGCAUACAUGAUUCAAGCUAAUGUGUCACUGAAACGAUUGAGUUCAUUUUUAACUGCGGAAGAACUUGAUCCUGAAGGUGUUGAGAGAAGUGAAAAAUAUGAUGAAAGUUUAGAUGCAGUAUCAAUAACAGGAGGUGUGUUCACAUGGGAAGAUGAGGCAGACAAUUUCCUCUUAUCAAAUAUUGAAUUAUCUGUGAGACCUGGUGAGCUAGUGGCUGUAGUGGGACCUGUUGGAGCUGGUAAAUCAGCAUUGAUAUCAGCCAUCUUAGGAGAAAUGAAUAAGAUAAAUGGACAUGUAGUUCUUAGGGGUAGAGUAGCUUAUGUACCUCAGAUUGCUUGGAUAUUGAAUGCUACAGUCAAAGAUAACAUUACUUUUGGUAAAGGGUUCAAUAACGUUCUCUACAAUGAGGUCAUUAGUACUUGUGCUUUGGAAGCAGAUAUGGAAAUAUUACCAGGAGGGGACAUGACUGAAAUAGGAGAGAAAGGUAUUAAUCUUAGUGGUGGUCAGAAACAACGUGUUAGUCUAGCUAGAGCAGUCUACCAGGAGUCUGAUGUUUAUUUACUUGAUGAUCCUUUAUCUGCUGUUGAUUCACAUGUUGGUAAACACAUAUUUGAUAAUGUGAUAGGACCUGAAGGAGUAUUGAAAAACAAAGUACGUAUAUUAGUGACUCAUAGUGUGAGGUUCCUAUCUCAAUGUGAUAAGAUAAUUGUCAUGAAUGAAGGCAGGAUUAGUGAGGUUGGAACUUAUUCAGAACUACUUGGACACAAUGGAGAGUUCUCUGUGUUUCUACAAAACUAUGGCUCAACAGAUGAGAGUGAUGAAAAGAAACAAAACACUGAAAAAAUAGCUGACAAAUUGGAGUAUUUUCCUGAUAAGGACAGCAAAGAGUCAACUCUUUUGUCUGAUGAGAAAGUUCAAGUUGGCAUUGUCAAGAUGUCUGUUGUGUUUGCAUAUCUCAAGUCAUUCACAUUUAUUAUAUUUCUAAUUUUGUUGAUAUUCUCAUUUCUUUCCACUGGAGGAUAUGUUGGUCAGUUGCUCUGGUUAGCUCAUUGGAGUAAUGCUGGAGGAAAUGAUAACUUGACACUUUUUGCUAAUCUUGGUAUAUAUGCCACGUUUGGAAUCGUACAAUCUGUUUCACUGCUAUUUGCUUCACUGACAUUAUCAUUUGGAACUGUUAAAGCUUCAAGGAGACUCCAUGAUGAAAUGCUAUCCAGCAUACUUCGAUCACCAAUGUCAUUCUUUGAUACUACACCUCUAGGAAGACUCCUGAAUAGAUUCUCAAAAGACAUAGAUGCUGUUGAUGAAAAGAUUCCUUUGUUUACAAACUCAUUUCUCAUAACAGUUUUCUCAACUUUUGGAGUCAUCACUAUUAUCUCUGUGGCCUCUCCAUGGUUCCUCAUAGUCAUAGUACCGAUAACAGUCUUCUACUUGAUUGUCCAGCGUUUUUACGUAGCAACUUCAAGACAGUUAAAGCGUCUUGAAGCUACCUCACGCUCUCCAAUUUAUUCUCAUUUUCAAGAGAGCAUUGAUGGAAUCUCUAGCAUCAGAGCUUAUAAUGUUGCUGAAAGAUUUCGAUUGCAGUCUGAGCUUCAUGUAGACUACAAUCAAAUUGCUUUGUAUGUUAGCCAUUCCUCAAUAGUCAGGUGGUUAUCAGUUCAGCUUGAUUUCGUUGGAUCAGUCAUCGUUUUUUCGGCAGCAAUGUUUGCAACUCUUCAACGUAAUUAUCCGCACAUUUUUGGUUUUAUUGACCCUGGUUUAGCUGGAAUGUCAAUUAGCCAAGCUUUUUUGAUGACAUUACUAUUGGCCAUGGUAGUAAGAAUGACAAGUGACUUGGAGAGCAGUUUAGUGUCUGUUGAAAGAAUCAAAGAAUACACAGAGUUACCUAAUGAAGCUCCUGAAGUUAUUCCUGAUAAUAGGCCUGAUCCUAAUUGGCCAGUAGAUGGUAGCAUUCAAUUUGAUGAAUAUGCUACACGCUAUCGUCCUGGACUUGAUCUUGUACUAAAGAAUGUGUCUUGUUACAUACCUGGUGGUCAAAAAGUUGGUGUUGUAGGACGGACUGGAGCAGGGAAGUCAUCAUUAACUAUGUCAUUGUUUCGUAUCAUUGAAGCUGAUAAAGGAUCCAUUUUAAUUGAUGGCAUGGACAUCAGUAAAUAUGGACUACGUGACCUUAGAUCACGACUAACAAUCAUUCCACAAGGCCACUUCGUUUUAAUCUUGAUCCCUUUGAUACUUGCACUGAUGAUGAAAUAUGGAGGGCUCUACACAAUGCCCAUUUGAGCACAUAUGUACAGGGACUGAGCAGAGGGCUGGAUCACAUUGUAACUGAGGGAGGAGAAAACUUGAGUGUUGGUCAGUGUCAGUUAGUGUGUCUUGCUCGGGCGUUGCUCCGUAAGACAAAGAUACUAGUACUGGAUGAGGCCACAGC